Molecule: ribosomal RNA, 253 nt
Filed under: uncultured bacterium
Lineage: Bacteria
Description: partial 16S ribosomal RNA
Rfam family: Bacterial small subunit ribosomal RNA
Source: RNAcentral
UACGUAGGGUGCGAGCGUUGUCCGGAAUUACUGGGCGUAAAGAGCUCGUAGGUGGUUUGUCGCGUUGUUCGUGAAAACCGGGGGCUUAACCCUCGGCGUGCGGGCGAUACGGGCAGACUUGAGUACUGCAGGGGAGACUGGAAUUCCUGGUGUAGCGGUGAAAUGCGCAGAUAUCAGGAGGAACACCGGUGGCGAAGGCGGGUCUCUGGGCCGUAACUGACGCUGAGGAGCGAAAGCGUGGGGAGCGAACAGG